RNAcentral lists this ribosomal RNA (210 nucleotides) under uncultured bacterium. RNAcentral's name for it is "partial 16S ribosomal RNA". It matches the Rfam family "Bacterial small subunit ribosomal RNA", at positions 524 to 733 of the family's 1533-position model. The record is from RNAcentral.
UACGUAGGGCGCAAGCGUUAAUCGGAAUUACUGGGCGUAAAGCGUGCGCAGGCGGUUUUGUAAGUUUGUCGUGAAAUCCCCGGGCUCAACCUGGGAAUUGCGAUGAAGACUGCAAGGCUAGAAUCUGGCAGAGGGGGGUAGAAUUCCACGUGUAGCAGUGAAAUGCGUAGAGAUGUGGAGGAACACCGAUGGCGAAGGCAGCCCCCUGGG